UUUCAGGUGUUUCUGUCCACCAGGUGAACAUUCAUUGGGACUGAAACCUCUUGGGCUUCUCCUGGCUCUCAAGAGGUUCAGCACUGGGCUGGCACGAGCUUCCUCGGCACUGUCAGGAGCGAAGUGUUUCUUGGCAUGUGCAGGAGCUGAAUGCUGGGCACCUGGAGAACUUUAAAAUUGAAAUAGGUACCUACUUAGGUUUAAGAGCCUUCUGAGCUGGGCAGCAGCUGAGCAGAAGUUUUUAGUAUCACUGUUCGUAAUUGCAGCUGACUUCUGCCUGGCUUGGAUACUUCAAUAACUUUUUGGGAUCUGGCCCUAAGGGUUUUAUUUUUUUCUAGCUUUUGCAUUAAAUAAUAAAGAGCAGGCAAUUAAGAAGUCUUGCUUAACUGGCUUAGCCUCUUGAAGAGAGCUACAAAUUAGCCUUGUUCCCUGCUCCUGAGGAUCAUUAGAUCAUUUGUUACAAGGGCGCAGGGAGCCUCCGCAGUGUUUUGUGGCAGAAGGGCACAGGGCUACUCUGUGGAGUGCUCUGUGCUGUUGUUUACAAACCAAGAGUGCUACCCUGAGCAUCCCAGCUGGAUGUUUAGUUUGAAAAGCGAUAUGUCAGUCGCUAUUUAAUUAGGACCCUGCAGCCCACCUUUCUCAGAUGCUGCAGCUUAUUAAAGCGUUCCCUGAUUGGGAAUAUGCAGAUGCCAUUGGUGGAAGUAAUAGCUGCCUUUAGUCAGAGUGAAAGGACUUUGCCACCUCUAGCUUGGAGUUACAGCAGCACACUUGGACCCCAGGGCUUAGGUGUAAGGACGGAGGAGACAAACAGGCUCCUAUUCUCCUUCCAAGGAAAAUGCUUUAGGAAGGGGUGUUGCUGUGCUCCCUGUCCCGGGAGAGGAAAUUCUCCUCCAUUGCUGCCUGUGUAUCCUUCCCACAUGGCUCUUCUCUGCAAGAAUUUCAAGAACAGAUCUCCAGUGUACCAGACAAGCCAUUUUCCCUUGAUGUUACAACCCACACAGCUGCUGUACCGAGUCAUGUUUGGUGGUGGUAUUUACUUAGUGCUCUCUGAGGAUCUUCUGGUCUUUAUUCCUUUUGAUUACUCUUAGCAUCACUGAAGUUCAGCUGGUCCAAGAAUCCCUGAUGGAUUUAAGAAGCUAGAACAUACAGCAAAGAUGAAUGAACUUUAUUUAAAACAGAACCAGCCAGUUCUUUUCCUCACUAAAGAAACAGACUGUGGCAGACAGCCAGGAUGUUUCUCUUCUGUAAAGAUCUCGCACCAGCCCUACCUUAGCUGGUUCCCCUCCUCUCCUUUUGUCAGUGUGAUGCAUCUGCAUUAGCAAGCUGUGCUUUUCAUUCCAAAGUGAUGAAAGGGGAAAACAAUAAAUUACAAUGCCUUUUAAGAAGUCUCCAAAUCUUAUCAGAUCUCACAUUUCAUCCUUGCUGCUCUUUUAUGUCAUUCUUUUACUAUUACUCUAAUUGCCACUCAAAAUUUAUUUUGCUGCUGUUGUGCACCCAGCACUUGCAGCUACUGUUGAGAAAUAGUAUGGAGGCAGAAAGCAGAGAUCCUCUCUCUCCCUUUUUGUAAAUUCCUAUUGCUUGUGAAAUUCCCAAACUCACAACCUCCCAAGUUUCUGAGAAGAGUGGCCCUCUACGUACUCGGAGGUAUUGUUACACUGUUAAAAAUGGAAAUUUGAUGCUGCUUCUUGUGGGGUGGAGGGGAAGGAAUUGAGAAAGGUGGCGGUUUCACCCUAGCUGUCUCAUGAUAGUUGAAUGCUGGGAGUAGAAAACAGUAUAACAAAUACCUGAAAAUGCAGCCACCUACCACUCUUUUAUAUAAAUUUGAGAUUACGAGCCAAACUCACUGUUGACAUAAGCAGAUGCAAAUCUAAUGAAGUCACUGUAGUUACUUCUACUUAUGCCAGAGGUGAAUUUGUCCCUAUUUUUGGAACAUGCUGGUUUUGUGCUACAGCAUUGGCACACUGUAUCAUGUCAAAAUCCUUUUGAGCAAUGGCAGUGUGCCACUGGCUGAGUAACAUGAUGCAUCAUGUCAAACAUCUGCCUGAUAAUGGUCCUGAUCUGCUUUUUGACAUGAUGCAUCAUGCCACUGUACCAUGCCCGAAGGCAUCUGAUAGGAAUUCUGUCGGGAUCUGGUAACAAGAAACGUGUGCUAGUAUUGGAGAAUUUUGGCAUUUUGUGGAAAACAGUGAUCUCUGUGUUAGUGCAUUUAUAAAUCUCUUGCAAAUGCCUCAUGUACUUGGGUGAAAAAUGAUCACUAAUGUACUCCCACUUCAAUGUGUCACAUUAGCAUAAUAAACGAUAAAUCAUUUUCUA
Molecule: long non-coding RNA, 2313 nt
Organism: Corvus hawaiiensis (hawaiian crow)
Lineage: Eukaryota; Metazoa; Chordata; Aves; Passeriformes; Corvidae
Exons: 2
Source: RefSeq, a predicted model, not a curated record